GCCGGCCAAACAUGGUGGAGUGAGCACAAUUUAAAAACACAGCAAAAGUGUUUGCGGAACAGAUGAACAAACCGUGAAUAUAAACGAUCAGACUGGCUGCUCCAUGACAUGAACCAUCUACGGAGCAGUUAAUACAACAAUGUGCAGCAGAGGUUGCGCUAUUUUUGUAGUUUUAGUGAGCGAUGUCACAGUCACAUGACUCUGAGUUCACUGAGAUAUGGAGGAGUGUUUGCAAACUGAGCAGCAACAACACAACGGACAAGAAAACAGGACAGCAAAUACAUGGCACACCAACAACAGCCAUGUGUAAAGAUCUGCAGAGCCCAAAGCGGAUAGGCUUCAUCAGAUACCCCGGCUUGAAUAAUGGGGAUUCUCCAGGUGAUGGAGAACCAUCACAGGACAUCUUCUGGGACUCUACAUCGCCCACAGCUGGUACUGGGCCCGGACACGUGAACACAAGAGUUGUGGAAAUAUCCGAUAUUGCCAACCGUAUUGCUCCAAAGGAUGUGAAGCGGAAUGAGAAUGAUUCUCCUCUGGUGCAGUGGAUAGGUGACGGUGCCUUCCAUUGCACACCGGAAACACCAACGCCAAGCGUGAGAAAGAAGUCCUCAAGGAAGAAUAGCGUGGACGACCUCAAGAAACUGGCCUGGCAGUUUGAUGAAAACAUGAAGCAGGACAGAAAACUGACAGAGACAUCAGUCCUCGGUAAUGUGAAGGACCCAACGGAUCAGGUGGAGGCCGAGCUGCACGCUCUAUUUGACUCCUCCACCCAGCAAAUCAGCGGCUUCCUGAGCCAGGGCUCGUCAACAUCGGCCAGCGCACAGAAAACAGCUGCACAUCCUGCUGGAGCACGGGGAUCCUGUAAUGACGACUGGGAGGACGACGACCUCCUUGACUCCUUUGUGCUGUCUAUUCCUGACAAAAUCACUAAAUAUCAGAAGGGUGGUGUAGACUCUGUUAAAGACAUUUCAGACAGCUUAUGGGAUGAUGGGGACGACGACGCGCUGCUCUACCAGGUAUGUGACACCGUGGAGAAGAUCUCUAACAGUCAGCCACAGCAAGCAAGCACCAGCAACUGCCAAGCAAAGCAAGAUAUUUAUGUGGACAGACAGAGAAAAACCCCUGUGCCAAUCGACACGUCCCGGCUCAUGGUCGCCGGUGCUAAUAGUCAGUCGCCACGUGCUUUUUUUCGCUCUAACUCAUUACCGGAGACUAACAGUAAAACUGUGAACUACCAUGGGUGGAACAUUCCCAUAAAGGGUGCCAGCAACAGAUCACAGACGUCUCAGAGCCACCCGGGAAGCCGUGGGAGUCUGGGCACAUUUAACCAGGACAGGGAUUCCUCUGGAACUUUCCAGGCCAGGAAUGUGGACAUGAAGCCGCACUCAGUGUCAGCUGGGACAUCGCAGAGCUCCAAGUCCCACCACACGGCCUUCAAGAGAAACGUGUCUCACUCGGCAGCUAUAAGCAGCAAAGGUGUGUAGUGUGAUUCUGUGUCGUUUAUUUAUGGCAUCCCGUUGGAUUGGACGUCAUCUGAACAGGACAUCGCGCGCUCACUGCUUGAUAGCAAGAAGUUUUUGUCACAAGCCAGAUGACAGCAAAGUGCUCUGCAGCCGAGAUCGAGAGGAAGAAGCAGGAGGCGUUAGCCAGGAGACGACAGCGAAUGCAGAACGCCCCGAAACCGUAGAGGAGCUUCGUCCGGAAUAAAGGGAUAUUAUAACACUACAAUAAGCCUUUAGAAAACGAAUCAGUCCUUUUCACCAAUGAUGGCAUCUAAGAUAUAUCAUGUUGGUAUUAAUCAGUAUUAAUUAUUAUUAUUAUUAUUGUUGAAAAAGCUGCACUGUUCUCUGAUCUGCUGCUGGGAUAACAAUAGAAGAGAUUUCCCAGAGCUUUUCUAAUGCUGACUGAAAAAGAGUUUACAUUCCAGUUGGAAAAAGUUCUAAAUGUUCUGUUGUGUAAUGUCUGCACAUAUUUUGGAUAACACUUUUGUUUGCUUUUGUUUAAAAGUAGUAAAUAGUUUCAUCUGUGUUUCUCUUGGAACUGCAAUACAAGGGCAGAGAGUCGUUAACACAUGAUUGGUUGAAGUUAUUCAUUAGACAUGUCUUCAUCUAAGUAACAAUGAAGACAGUCAUUGCUGUAUUGUUGACUGUAUGUGUUUGAUCAAACAGUGUAUGUGUCUUCCUAUAUAUAUAUAUAUAUAGCCGACUUUUGUUUGUGCCUGAAAAAAAUGUUUUGCUUUUAUUUGCACAGGCCAGAAUGAUGUGUUAUAUUGUAAAGACAGUGAUCCUCUGUAGACAACAAAUCAUUUUAAUGGCCAUUCACCUGAAGAUGAUUGCCUUACUAUUCCUAGAAGUUGUGAUCAGCUGUGUUAUGAGGGUAGACUUGUAGUAAACAGUGCCUUUGUUUUUUGACUCCAGCCUGUUACCUCACAACAACAUGAUGGACUUAUUGCGAAUAUGAAUUUUGAAUAAACACAAACUACUACUGUU
This is an RNA transcript of Gymnodraco acuticeps, 2489 nucleotides long. RefSeq lists it as uncharacterized. NCBI's taxonomy places the organism in Eukaryota, Metazoa, Chordata, Actinopteri, Perciformes, Bathydraconidae. The transcript has 7 exons. The record is from RefSeq and is a predicted model, not a curated record.